Molecule: long non-coding RNA, 784 nt
Organism: Cucurbita moschata (crookneck pumpkin)
Lineage: Eukaryota; Viridiplantae; Streptophyta; Magnoliopsida; Cucurbitales; Cucurbitaceae
Exons: 2
Source: RefSeq, a predicted model, not a curated record
UGAGAUGCUUUGUGAUUACGAGGAGGAUUAAAGAUGCAAUUUAUUAAAAAGAAAAAGAUGAGCAAAAGACAUAGUUUGCUUGGUUAGAUGGAAACCAGAUGUAGUUGGCAAGUCCUUUAAAAAAGUAUUAUUGCAGUGGGGAGUGAAAGACAGCCCAUCCACCUAUGGCCUUAUGUGCGGCUUCUGCUUUCUAAAGGCGUUUCUGGCAAUUAUUUUCUAAUCUUCCUCAAAUUCCUCCCCCCAAGUUUCCGAAUUUCUUCAUCGUUUUCCAUCCCCAGACACUAUGGCUGCAGAAGCACCAAGCUGGGCCGACCAAUGGGGAGCCGGAGGGAUUGGAGCCAUAGAAGAAGACGAUGGUAGUAAAGCCAAAGGAGAACACAGCUCCGACAAGAAGGCUAGGUCUAAGCCUGGAUUUGCGAAGGCCAAGGCCGCGACCGUGGCUGGUGCCAAAAAGAUUGGAAGUGGGAUAUCUAAUGGCAUCAAGUGGAUCAUGAACCCACGCAAGAAAAACUCCAAUUAAAUUUCGGCAGAUUUGUCUCCAUAUCCUUGGCACCAAUAUAACAGAUCAGAGAGAGAGAGAGAUAUAGAAAGAAAGAAAAACCUACUUUUGUUAGCAAAAGGUUGAAACUUUUCAUCAUUCUGGUAUCUGUUUUUUAAAUUUUGGCAAGCAUGGUUCUCAGAGUUCUGGACUCGAUUCGGCUAAGAUAUUCAGCAUGCUGUGGAAUUCAGGUUCCAUCCUGUUAUCAUUUCCAUAUAUCAUAGAAUCAAGUAGUAGUUUCAGGCU